AUUGAACGCUAGCGGGAUGCUUUACACAUGCAAGUCGAACGGCAGCGCGGACUUCGGUCUGGCGGCGAGUGGCGAACGGGUGAGUAAUGUAUCGGAACGUGCCCAGUAGCGGGGAUAACUACGCGAAAGCGUAGCUAAUACCGCAUACGCCCUACGGGGGAAAGCAGGGGAUCGUAAGACCUUGCACUAUUGGAGCGGCCGAUAUCAGAUUAGCUAGUUGGUGAGGUAACGGCUCACCAAGGCGACGAUCCGUAGCUGGUUUGAGAGGACGACCAGCCACACUGGGACUGAGGCACGGCCCAGACUCCGACGGGAGGCAGCAGUGGGGAAUUUUGGACAAUGGGGGUAACCCUGAUCCAGCCGUCCCGCGUGUGCGAUGAAGGCCUUCGGGUUGUAAAGCACUUUUGGCAGGAAAGAAACGUCGCGGGCUAAUACCCCGUGGAACUGACGGUACCUGCAGAAUAAGCACCGGCUAACUACGUG
RNAcentral lists this ribosomal RNA (483 nucleotides) under uncultured bacterium. Its description in RNAcentral is "partial 16S ribosomal RNA". It matches the Rfam family "Bacterial small subunit ribosomal RNA", at positions 30 to 507 of the family's 1533-position model. The record is from RNAcentral.